This 5043-nucleotide unclassified non-coding RNA is filed under the name Hevea brasiliensis (rubber tree). The record is from RNAcentral. Lineage: Eukaryota; Viridiplantae; Streptophyta; Magnoliopsida; Malpighiales; Euphorbiaceae.
CGCCGAUAUCCCACCUUAGAAUAAACAGAACGAGAGGCUUCAAAGUCCAGUUCUUGACGAUUUCUUACUAACGACAUAUUGUUUAUUCUCAUUCUUAUUCUCCUUCUCUCUGGUUCUGGGAAAGCAGAACUGCGAGAAUCACAGCCGCAGCCACAGGGUCUACCUAGGCCCAGGUGGUUCUAAUUUUCACUAAGUUCGGUUCAUGGAGGUUGCAAAUACAAAUAAUCAAUGCGCAGGUUCUGCAGCCGUAUCAGAAAAUCAAUUUACCGGCUCUGAUACAGCAAAUGAUGUGAAAAAGACAUCUAGAGAGCAGAGAGAAGCUCUGCCAGGGGAGCCUAAAUGUGUUGUAUGCGGCCGCUAUGGGGAGUAUAUAUGUGAUGAGACUGAUGAUGAUAUUUGUAGCUUGGAAUGCAAACAAACUCUUUUAUGGAGGGUUGCUAAUUCCCAGGUUUCAGUUGCUUCUCCACCUCCUACAAGGUUUGCUACAACUGAUGAGUGUUUUUAUGUUAGAGAAUCUGAUGAUAAAUCAGGACCCUUAUCUUUAACUAAUGAUCAAACUGAGUUACUGAGAAGGAAGCUUGAAAUCAAUGUGAAGGGGGAAUCGGUUCCAGAUCCCAUUUUGUCAUUCUCUUCUUGUAAUCUUCCUAAGAAGCUUCUGCAGAACAUAGAAGCUGCAGGAUAUGGUAUGCCUACACCUGUCCAGAUGCAAGCAAUCCCAAUCGCUUUGAGCAGCAAAAGCCUGCUUGCUUCAGCUGAUACAGGCUCAGGGAAAACUGCUUCUUAUCUGGUCCCUGUUGUUUCUUGCUGUGCAAGUUUUCGCCUUCAGCACUCGCCUGAGUAUAGAAAGCCACUAGCAAUGGUUUUAACUCCAACAAGAGAGCUCUCCAUGCAGGUUGAGGAUCAAGCUAAGUUACUUGGUAAGGGUUUGCCUUUCAAGACUGCACUUGUGGUUGGUGGUGAUGCUAUGGCUGGACAAAUCUACCGUAUUCAGCAAGGAGUGGAAUUGAUUGUAGGGACUCCGGGCAGGCUCAUUGAUCUUUUAACAAAGCAUGAUAUUGAACUAGAUGAAGUAAUGAUAUUUGUUCUAGAUGAGGUGGACUGUAUGCUUCAAAGGGGCUUCCGAGAUCAGGUUAUGCAGAUUUUUAGAGCUCUUUCUCAACCUCAGGUCUUGAUGUAUUCUGCAACAAUCACACAAGAAGUGAAGAUGGCAAGCUCUAUGGCAAAAGAUAUGGUUGCUGUCUCGCCUAACAGCCAGUAAGGCUAUGAAACAGCUGGCAAUCUGGGUUGCUUUGAAGCAAAAGAAGCGAAAGCUUUUUGACAUUUUGAUGAGAAAACAGCAUUUUUUGCCACCAGUGGUUGUAUAUAUGGAUUCAAGACUUGGGGCAGAUCUCCUAUCUAAUGCGAUCAUGGUUACUGCAGGGUUGAAGGCUCUAUCUAUCCAUGGGCCAAAGUCCAUGAAGGAGAGAAGAGAGAUCAUGAGGUCGCUUUUGGUGGGGGAGGUUUCUGUGAUUGUGGCAACUGGGGUUUUGGGUUGGGGAGUUGAUCUGUUGGGUGUGAGACGGCUAUUAGUGUUUGAUAUGCCCAAUUCCGUUAAGAAGUAUGUCCAUCAAAUAGGAAGGGCUGACUUGAAUUGGAGAGGAAGGUUCAGCAACUGUUUUUGUUAAUAAGGAGAACAAAAAUUUAUUUCCACAGUGCAUUGAGGUUUAAAAUCUUCUGGAGCUGUGAUAUCUUGUGAACUUGCAAAUUCAUGGCUGUUAUGUGCGGUCCUUCCCUGCCAGCAACGGUCAGAGAAAGAGAAAAUAUGGUUUCUGAGCAAUCAGAAGUUUUGUUUGUUUUUUGGCGUUAUUUUAUUACUAUGAAGGUGCAAAGUCAAAUCUAUUGUUAUUUCUUGAAUUCUUGGACUAUGCUGGGUGCAUCUAGCAAGAGAACUUACCACCUUGUUGGCAAUUUGAUGUCUACUUUGUGGAGCAAGAAACCUUUUUCGUUGAGUGCAAAAAGAUGUUUGGUGGAUAAGUAGCCAGCUUGGAUAGCAUGUAGUUACGCAACAUGAUAGGGAGCAUGUUUUAAAAUUGUUUUGAUUUUCAAACUGAUGUUCUUCUCCUGUUGGUUAACUUUGUUGAUUCAAAGAGGACAAUCCAGAGUUCAAGGAGAAGACUCUGCUAGUAUUUAGGAUGAACUCUUCUGUUGAGGGGAGACUUUGGAAGCGCUGUCCUAUUGACUUGAGCAUUGAUGAUUUUUGGUGUAAGAGCGAAGGCUCUGGGAAUGCUCGUGAAUAUAAUCAAAGCACUGGAAGUAUUCCAUUUUACAGGAACAUUUACGAAGAAAUGUUGGGUAACAAUACGGCAUCACAUAGGAAAGGGUGAAAGUUGAAGUGGGCCAAUUGCAGAUGGCGCAUGAUGUGACGCGUCCGAAAGCCGAAAUUUAGACGCAUGGAUCCCAUAUGAAAAAGACAAAGGAAGAGCAAUGCGUGUGGACCCACAGAAAGAGAAAAAAACAAUAUUUCAGUUGGUGGAAGGAAGACAGAAGACACCACCGCACGCGUCCUGACUCAGCCAUUAAACCUCCCUACCGUCUGCUCUUCCCUUCCCAUCGGCCAAUCCCCUCCUCACCUCUCAACCUCUCUCUCUCCUCUCUCUCUUUAGUUUAUUUUUUUUCUCAUUUUAAUAUCUGACGCCAUAAAUAUACUUUCUUUUUCGCUUUUUCGCUUUUUUUGGUACGCUACGAAACGGUCUUACUAAUUGAAUCUUUCUUUUCUUCGUAUUCUUCUUCUUUUCAUCUCCCACCAAAAUCAACAACAACAACAAACCUUCUUAUUUUCCUUUCAGCCCUUCACUUCUUCCAUUGCCCUUUCCCAGUUCGGCAGCAGGAGGUCAUCUUGGUAGAUUGUAACUUAAUAGUAGAUGCAGGGCUACGCUCAUGCUGCCAGAGAGGGGGCACAUAGUGUCGGUGAAAGUUCUAGCUCCACAUCAUGGAGUAGUCAGCAGGAUACUGAGGAUGACCGAAUGAUUGCUCUUGUACUAUCAGAAGAAUUCGCCAACCUAGAUGGUGCAGUUGCUAGACGCCUCACUAACCUGGCACCUAUUCCUCAUGUUCCACGGAUAAAUACAUAUAUACCCAACAUAAGUGAUGCCAGUAUGGAUCACCAAAGGCUUAUUCAGAGGUUAAAUGUUUAUGGUUUAUAUGAGGUGAAGGUUUCUGGAGAUGGAAAUUGUCAGGUAUGUUCAAAAUGUUAACUCUGUGUCUCUCACUGCCUGAUGGAAGUAUGAUCUCCUGAGUUUCUCUCUCUUUCUCUCAAAGCAGUUUCGUGCACUUUCAGACCAGAUGUACAAGUCACCUGAACACCACAAACAUAUUCGAAAAGAGGUUGUGAAACAGGUGACAUUCUUUGAAGUGCCCGAAUUUUUCUGAAAGUUGAAUUUAGUUCAGCAAAUUUGGAAUUACAUCGAAUUUGGGCUCUUAAUCCCCACCUUCAAGAUAAUAUUAUGAUCACUAGUGAUUAAUUAACCAAGCUCAUCUAGCGGUGUAUAUUGUAUGAUAAAUAAAUUCUCUCUGAAGAUUUGAAGGAAGUGUGGAAAGCACACUAGAAACAUGCUCUUUACCAACAUAUGAUUACCAUAUUUUCAGUUUCAGCAACUCUUUCUACGUGCAUGUCCACUGUUGCUGCUAAAAAACAUUGUUGCCAUGUUUAGUGUCAUAACCAUGCCAACAAGUCGUAAGGACAGUAACCACUAUGACAAUCACCACCAGUUGCGUCAGGUUGCUAAUCAUACAACCAGGUAUAGCAACCUAUGAUUUCCAUUAACAACCACUGUGGUGAUUUCUUGAACUUAAUGCAGUAGCCUGCCACUUAAUUGUAAUAUCAUACCUAAUAUCUUAUGAUUACCUUUUAUAACUAUUCAUUAGACUAGCACCAUACCACAUUGCUGUGACUCAUUAAAAUUCUUACAAACUCUUAUUAUCUCCCUGUUACAUCCAUUACUUCUGCAACUGACAGCAUGGCAUCCUUAAGACCUUAGCACGGUACCUUCAGCAACCCUUGCAGCCACUGCAUUCCAUUGGCCAUCUCUAUCUUAUGUGACAGCCUCUAUCUGUUAAAAUACUUGUUAAUUGCCACUGCUUUGUUACUAUUGUGCUUGCUUUAUAUGAUUACCAGAGCAACCUUCUCCAUUGUCACUUUCAGGUCUCCAACUCCAAUUUAUUUUUAAUUCUUGAUUUUUUUUAACAAGAAUAUAGCAUUCGUUCUUCUGGUGGAAAAAAUGCCACAACUAUUUCCAGAUUCAAGAUCUGCAAUUCAAUGGAAAAUGCAAUAUUUUCAAAUAGGAAGUGCUAUUUAUAGGCUUAUAAAUUUCAGUGAGAAGUGGAAGAGAUGCCUUUUUUUAUGUCUAAAAAAAAAGAGUGGUUAAUAUUGUUUUAUUAACCCUGUAUUACUAUUUUCUUUUCUAGCUGAAAGAUUACCGAUCAUUGUAUGAAGGCUAUGUCCCGAUGAAGUACAAGCGUUAUUACAAGAAAAUGGCAAAAUCUGGUGAAUGGGGGGACCAUGUUACAUUACAAGCAGCAGCCGAUAAGUUUGCAGCAAAGAUCUGCCUGUUGACAUCUUUUAGAGAUAUUUGUUUUAUUGAAAUUAUGCCACAAUACCAGUCACCGAAACGUGAAUUGUGGUUAAGUUUCUGGUCUGGGGUACACUACAACUCACUAUAUGAAAUCAGAGGUUUGUUUCAAUUUCUUAAAAAAGAAACCAUACGCGUUAGUUUGAAAUGAGAAUAACCAUUUGUAAUAUUCUAUUAUGUUGCUUGGUUUCCUUUAAGAUGCGCCGAUCCCACAUAAGCCAAGGAAGAAACACUGGUUGUUUUAGAGGAAGGAUGCAGAUUGCUGAUGUUGAUACAAAAAUUGGGAUUUUUUUUUUUUUAAAAUUUAGUUGUGUAUAUUUUUUUGCGUAUAUCAUAUGUUGUGUUCUAUUUAAUUCAUUAUUAUUACUCAUUCUAUUUCAUAAAUAUAGACUUACUUCUAUUUUCUCAUAGUUCAAGAAAAGUUAAUAUAGUUGCA